RNAcentral lists this ribosomal RNA (490 nucleotides) under uncultured bacterium. RNAcentral's name for it is "partial 16S ribosomal RNA". It matches the Rfam family "Bacterial small subunit ribosomal RNA", at positions 30 to 507 of the family's 1533-position model. The record is from RNAcentral.
AUUGAACGCUGGCGGCAGGCCUAACACAUGCAAGUCGAACGGUAACAGGGAUCAGCUUGCUGAUUCGCUGACGAGUGGCGGACGGGUGAGUAAUGUCUGGGAAACUGCCUGAUGGAGGAGGAUAACUACUGGAAACGGUAGCUAAUACCGCAUAACGUCGCAAGACCAAAGAGGGGGACCUUCGGGCCUCUUGCCAUCGGAUGUGCCCAGAUGGGAUUAGCUAGUAGGUGGGGUAACGGCUCACCUAGGCGACGAUCCCUAGCUGGUCUGAGAGGAUGACCAGCCACACUGGAACUGAGACACGGUCCAGACUCCUACGGGAGGCAGCAGUGGGGAAUAUUGCACAAUGGGCGCAAGCCUGAUGCAGCCAUGCCGCGUGUAUGAAGAAGGCCUUCGGGUUGUAAAGUACUUUCAGCGGGGAGGAAGGGAGUAAAGUUAAUACCUUUGCUCAUUGACGUUACCCGCAGAAGAAGCACCGGCUAACUCCGUG